This 24-nucleotide ribosomal RNA is filed under the name Colletotrichum salicis. Its description in RNAcentral is "partial 28S ribosomal RNA". The record is from RNAcentral. Lineage: Eukaryota; Fungi; Ascomycota; Sordariomycetes; Glomerellales; Glomerellaceae.
CAGGUUGACCUCGGAUCAGGUAGG